CUAUACUGUGAACUGCGAAUGGCUCAUUAAAUCAGUUAUCGUUUAUUUGAUAGUACCUUACUACACGGAUAUCUGUGGUAAUUCUAGAGUUAAUACGUGCUAAAAACCUCGACUUCGGAAGGGGUGUAUUUAUUAGACUAAAAACCAAUGCCCUUCGGGGCUCCUUGGUGAUUCAUAAUAACUCAACGAAUCGCAUGGCCUUGCGCCGGCGAUGGUUCAUUCAAAUUUCUGCCCUAUCAACUUUCGAUGCUAGGGUAGUGGCCUAGCAUGGUUACAACGGGUAACGGGGGAUUAGGGUUCUAUUCCGGAGAGGGAGCCUGAGAAACGGCUACCACAUCCAAGGAAGGCAGCAGGCGCGCAAAUUACCCAAUCCCGACACGGGGAGGUAGUGACAAUAAAUACUGAUACAGGGCUCUUUUGGGUCUUGUAAUUGGAAUGAGUACGAUUUAAACACCCUAACGAGGAACAAUUGGAGGGCAAGUCUGGUGCCAGCAGCCGCGGUAAUUCCAGCUCCAAUAGCGUAUAUUAAAGUUGUUGCAGUUAAAACGCUCGUCGUUGAACCUUGGGCCUGGGCGACCGGUCUCCCUCACCGGAUGCACUGGUUCGGCCGGGCCUUUCCUUCUGGGGAAUCGCAUGCCCUUCGCUGGGCGUGUCGAGGAUCCAGGACUUUUACUUUGAAAAAAUUAGAGUGUUCAAAGCAGGCCUUUGCUCGAAUACCUUAGCAUGGAAUAAUAGAAUAGGACGUGCGGUCCUAUUUUGUUGGUUUCUAGGACCGCCGUAAUGAUUAAUAGGGUCAGUUGGGGGCAUCAGUAUUCAAUUGUCAGAGGUGAAAUUCUUAGAUUUAUUGAAGACUAACUACUGCGAAAGCAUUUGCCAAAGAUGUUUUCAUUAAUCAGUGAACGAAAGUUAGGGGAUCGAAGACGAUCAGAUACCGUCGUAGUCCUAACCAUAAACUAUGCCGACUAGGGAUCGGGCGAUGUUAUCAUUUUGACUCGCUCGGCACCUUACGAGAAAUCAAAG
This 1020-nucleotide ribosomal RNA is filed under the name Aliquandostipite khaoyaiensis. RNAcentral's name for it is "SSU rRNA". It matches the Rfam family "Eukaryotic small subunit ribosomal RNA", at positions 74 to 1103 of the family's 1831-position model. Lineage: Eukaryota; Fungi; Ascomycota; Dothideomycetes; Jahnulales; Aliquandostipitaceae. The record is from RNAcentral.